This 305-nucleotide ribosomal RNA is filed under the name Salmonella enterica subsp. enterica serovar Newport. RNAcentral describes it as "partial 23S ribosomal RNA". It matches the Rfam family "Bacterial large subunit ribosomal RNA", at positions 911 to 1214 of the family's 2925-position model. The record is from RNAcentral. Lineage: Bacteria; Pseudomonadati; Pseudomonadota; Gammaproteobacteria; Enterobacterales; Enterobacteriaceae.
UGUUUCGGCUAGGGGGCCAUCCCGGCUUACCAACCCGAUGCAAACUGCGAAUACCGGAGAAUGUUAUCACGGGAGACACACGGCGGGUGCUAACGUCCGUCGUGAAGAGGGAAACAACCCAGACCGCCAGCUAAGGUCCCAAAGUCAUGGUUAAGUGGGAAACGAUGUGGGAAGGCCCAGACAGCCAGGAUGUUGGCUUAGAAGCAGCCAUCAUUUAAAGAAAGCGUAAUAGCUCACUGGUCGAGUCGGCCUGCGCGGAAGAUGUAACGGGGCUAAACCAUGCACCGAAGCUGCGGCAGCGACAC